Molecule: long non-coding RNA, 667 nt
Filed under: Cricetulus griseus (Chinese hamster)
Lineage: Eukaryota; Metazoa; Chordata; Mammalia; Rodentia; Cricetidae
Description: lncRNA (ENSCGRG00000025933.1)
Source: RNAcentral
GAUUUCAUGUUUUCCAGGUUAGCCUGGAACUUACUACACAGCUGAAGAUAUCCUUAAAUUCCUGGUUCUCCUGGCUCUAUUUCCUGAGUGCUGUGACUUCAGGGUCCAUAAAUCUUGUGAUGUGAGCUCAUGGACUUUAAGCAGCCUCAAGAACUUUGAAGAAUGAAAUAUUUAGCAAGGAGACAAGUGACUGCUGUUAUGGAAACGGAUAUUACCCACCCAGCAGUGGUGUGUUCUAAGUGCUUGACAUUCCAAUCUUAAAACCCAAGAAGUGGGUCUGUGAGGUGGCUCCACAGGUGGAGACGCAUUGCAGGCCUGGAGACCCAGGCUGGAUGGAUUCUCGUGACCCAGCUGUUUUACAGACACCUGGGAAUGAGUGCUGUUACUGUAUCAGUGAGUCUGGCCUGGCGGAAACUAAUAUCAAGUCGCUCUGCAAAUUGUCUGAAGACUUCACCAAUAUGACCAGGGCAUCUCUCGGUUCCAUCUUCCUGGCAAUCUUCACUGUUCCCAAGGCUAGCCCCACUCAUAGAGCUUGUGGUAAUCUAUUUUUUUCUCUUAGCACCUUGCCUUCUCUGCUUUCUCCAGGAACAGAUUCCUGAGGUCUUUAGCAUGGUUGACUGAAUGCUUCUUCACCCAUACCUCCCUCUGAGCAUGAGCCCACAGACCC